Molecule: long non-coding RNA, 1611 nt
Filed under: Canis lupus familiaris (dog)
Lineage: Eukaryota; Metazoa; Chordata; Mammalia; Carnivora; Canidae
Description: lncRNA (ENSCAFG00845029504.1)
Source: RNAcentral
GGUGUGUGUAUAUAUAUAAUAUAUAUAAGGUGUAUAUAUAAUAUACAUAUAUAUGUGUAUUAUUCAGCCUCAAAAGUAAUGACAUUUUGACACAUGCUGCAAUAUGGAUAAACUUUGAAAACAUUAUGCUAAAUAAAAGAAACCAGACAUAAAAGGACAAAUAUUGUAUGGUUCCACUAUAUGAAGUGGCAGGAAUAGGCAAACCCACAGACACAGAAAGUAGAACAGAGUUUACCAGAGCCUAAGAGGAGGGCAGCGUGAGGGGUAACUGUUUAAUGAGUACAGUUUAUUUGAAAUGAUGAGAAAGUUCUGAAAAUGAAUAGUGGUGAUAGUUGCUCAACAUGGUGAAUGUACUUAAUAUCAGUGAAGUGUACAUUUUAAAAUGCUUUAAACGUUAAUUUUGUCAUUUCUAUUUUACCACAAUAAAAAAUAAUAAUAACCCACUAUAAAAUAAAGUAUAAAUUUACCUUGCAUUAGGCAUUUUAUCAAGUUUCCAUAAAACUGCACUUAUUCUAGGAGCUUAUAGUUAUUAUCAUAUUUUGGGAAGUUUAAGAAAAGCAACAGUUUAAGUUGGCCUCUUGAGGUUUCUUUCUCUCCAUUUCUGUUUUUUUCUAGAUUAAUGUUGUCACACUUCUCUUUGAAUACUAGCAUCAGCAACAACCGUGACAGCUAGUACUAGUCUCUUCAAGUAUCAAUCAGCAAUCCUACUUUGAAAAGCUGCCCGAGGCUACCGAGAAUGAACAACAAGGAUCACAGCUGUGCUGCUCCCACCCUCUCCCUGCAAAUGGGAACAGAGCCUGCCUAGCAAUGCUGGCACAGACCUGUAGUUCCCUGCCCACCUUGUUAUUGCUCAGGGCAGUGGCUUUCCUCCACCAGCCUCUUCCAGCUCCAGGUGACUCCUUUUCUCCCCUGCUUUAUAGAAAUGUAAUUGACAUAUAAUACUGUGUAAAUUUAAAAUGUGCAAUGUGAUGAAUUGAUAUAUGCAUGUGCUGCAAAAUGAUUACUACAAUAAGGUGAGUUAACAAAUCUAGUACCUCACCUAAUUACUUUGUGUGUGUGAUGGGAACAUUUAAGAGUUAGUAACUUUCAACUAUACAAUAUUGUUAACUAAAGUCACCAUGGUGUACAUUACAUCUCCAGAAUUCAUUCUUCUUAUAAGUAGACAUUUAUACUUUUUGACGAAAAUCUCAUCUCCUCCACCCCUAGCCACUGGCAACCACUAUUCUAUUCUCUGAGUUCGGCUUAUAUGGAAUUCCACAUCUAAGUGAGGUCAUACAGUAUUGGUCUUUCUCUGACUUAUUUCACUUAGCAUAAUGUCCUUAAUGUUUCCACAAGUGGCAGGAUUUCCUUUUUCUUUAAAUGACUGAAUAAUGUUCAUAAUAAUAUAUACAUAUAUAUCACGUCUUCUUGAUUCAUUCAUCCAUUAAGGAACAGUAUAAUUAUGGAAACUCAGCAGUUCCUACAAAUGACUAAGGUAACAACAGACAAAAUCUAGGUACUAUUUACAAUGGGAAAAAAUCCCCAGUGGUAGCAAUAGAUUCUGGCUGUCAAUUAGGCUACACCCUGUAGGCAGAAAGGCCAUAUUUUGAGAGUAGCUGGUUUGAAUGAGUC